Molecule: non-coding RNA, 75 nt
Organism: Myotis brandtii (Brandt's bat)
Lineage: Eukaryota; Metazoa; Chordata; Mammalia; Chiroptera; Vespertilionidae
Source: Rfam
GGCGGUUCUUCGGUGAUGCACCACGGAAUCGGGCUCCCUUCUCUCUGGUUCCAGGUGCGUCACCGGAGAACCGCA